UACGUAGGGGGCUAGCGUUGUCCGGAAUCAUUGGGCGUAAAGAGCGUGUAGGCUGCUCGGUAAGUCCGCUGUAAAAGUCAAAGGCUCAACCUUUGAAUGUCAGUGGAUACUGCCGGGCUAGAGUACGGAAGAGGCAAGUGGAAUUCCUGGUGUAGCGGUGGAAUGCGCAGAUAUCAGGAGGAACACCGAUGGCGAAGGCAGGUCUCUGGGCCACUACUGACGCUGAGAAGCGAAAGCAUGGGGAGCGAACAGGAUAGAA
RNAcentral lists this ribosomal RNA (259 nucleotides) under uncultured bacterium. RNAcentral's name for it is "partial 16S ribosomal RNA". It matches the Rfam family "Bacterial small subunit ribosomal RNA", at positions 524 to 782 of the family's 1533-position model. The record is from RNAcentral.